RNAcentral lists this long non-coding RNA (534 nucleotides) under Phoenix dactylifera (date palm). RNAcentral describes it as "long non-coding RNA (PDAC_LNC009310)". Lineage: Eukaryota; Viridiplantae; Streptophyta; Magnoliopsida; Arecales; Arecaceae. The record is from RNAcentral.
AUGAGUUUCAGGUUAUGUAUCGAGGUGUGAAAGGUGCGUGCCAAAUUCUGAAAUUCUAUGUGCCAAAUUCUGAAAUUUGAUAGAAAUUUUUGACUUGAUCAUUUUCAUUGUUGCAAAUUGCUCCCCCUUGAAUGCAUAUGCUUUCCUAUAUGAUUUUCAAGUUGUUUUACAAGUUAUUUCGUUAUUUCUCCUUCUUUCUUUACUUCUCUUAUCACUCUGUCUUUACUUCUCCCCCUAUUACAUUACUCUUUCUUUACUUCUCCUCCUUUUUGUUAUCAUCAAAUAGAUGCAUGGGAAAAGACACAAUAAAUAACAAACAUUUAAACUUCAUUGAUCAAAAUAGGAACAUUUUAGUACAUUCAUGCCCAAAAACAAAAACAAAUACAAUGUUCCUUAAUCAAAGUUUAAAGAUACAUGAUAAAAGCAAAAUACAUAUGAGAACUAGAUAUCUAGCCUAGGCUCUAAACAUAAAUGCUAAUAUCAGCCUAGGGAGUAUCUAAUGGCUGGGAUCUAGUCCUCAUCCUCUUAGUGUAU